GAUCAGAACCGCCGCACGAGAUGUCGUACCCAACGACAGGAAUGCUACAAUAUGGCGUGACUCACGCGCAAGAGUCGGGCAUGCCGCGUCCACAUGUUCCAGCCAAAAAUCAAAUAAAUUCGAUCUNNNNNNNNNNNNCGAUGCUGCAAAUCGCGGCUUUCUUGACCGCGCAGGCAGUUUCAACGCUGGAACAGGUGCAAAAACGCCGGAAUAUGCUUCAGUUGAAGCAGCAAACGGGCUUCCGCUGCGGCCCGCAGAAGGGCCCGCGUGGAUUGACACAACAGGGUCCACCAAUAGAAUAACC
This 304-nucleotide unclassified non-coding RNA is filed under the name Hevea brasiliensis (rubber tree). The record is from RNAcentral. Lineage: Eukaryota; Viridiplantae; Streptophyta; Magnoliopsida; Malpighiales; Euphorbiaceae.